GAUGAACGCUGGCGGCGUGCCUAAUACAUGCAAGUCGAGCGAACGGACGAGAAGCUUGCUUUUCUGAUGUUAGCGGCGGACGGGUGAGUAACACGUGGAUAACCUACCUAUAAGACUGGGAUAACUUCGGGAAACCGGAGCUAAUACCGGAUAAUAUUUUGAACCGCAUGGUUCAAAAGUGAAAGACGGUCUUGCUGUCACUUAUAGAUGGAUCCGCGCUGCAUUAGCUAGUUGGUAAGGUAACGGCUUACCAAGGCAACGAUGCAUAGCCGACCUGAGAGUGGGAUGGGCCAAACGGAAACGGGAACACGGCCCAAACCCGCAGGGGAGGCAGCAUGGGGGAAUUUCCCGCAAGGGGGGAAAGCUGGAGGGGGAAACCCCGGGGGGGGAAUGAGGGUCUUGGGAUCGAAAACCCUUUUUAUGAGGAAAAAAAAUAUGGUUAAGUAACUGGGAACAUUUUGAGGGUACCAAAAAAAAAAGCCCGGGCAAACUAGGU
This 496-nucleotide ribosomal RNA is filed under the name uncultured bacterium. RNAcentral describes it as "partial 16S ribosomal RNA". It matches the Rfam family "Bacterial small subunit ribosomal RNA", at positions 28 to 506 of the family's 1533-position model. The record is from RNAcentral.